Molecule: ribosomal RNA, 253 nt
Filed under: uncultured bacterium
Lineage: Bacteria
Description: partial 16S ribosomal RNA
Rfam family: Bacterial small subunit ribosomal RNA
Source: RNAcentral
UACGAAGGGGGCUAGCGUUGUUCGGCAUCACUGGGCGUAAAGCGCACGCAGGCGGAUCGAUAAGUCGGGGGUGAAAGCCCGGGGCUCAACCUCGGAAUUGCCUUCGAUACUGUCGGUCUCGAGUCCGGGAGAGGUGAGUGGAAUUCCUAGUGUAGAGGUGAAAUUCGUAGAUAUUAGGAAGAACACCAGUGGCGAAGGCGGCUCACUGGCCCGGUACUGACGCUCAGGUGCGAAAGCGUGUGGAGCAAAUAGG